Molecule: ribosomal RNA, 412 nt
Filed under: uncultured bacterium
Lineage: Bacteria
Description: bacterial SSU rRNA
Rfam family: Bacterial small subunit ribosomal RNA
Source: RNAcentral
AGGAAAGAAGCCGCGGUAAGACGUAGGGCGAGACCGUUACCCGGAAUUACUGGGCGUAAAGGGGGCGUAGGCGGUGAUACAAGUCAUCUGUGAAAACCUAUUGCUCAACGAUAGGCUAGCGGAUGAAACUGUAUUACUUGAGUGCACCAGAGGUAGACGGAAUUACCCGAGUAGGGGUGAAAUCCGCAGAUACGGGUAGGAACGCCGGUGGAGAAGUCGGUCUACUGGGGUGUAACAGACGCUGAGGCCCGAAAGCUAGGGGAGCAAACCGGAUUAGAUACCCGGGUAGUCCUAGCCGUAAACGAUGCUCACUAGGUGUAGGGAGUGACAAACGCUCUGUGCUGAAGCAAACGCGCUAAGUGAGCCGCCUGGGGAGUACGUCCGCAAGGAUGAAACUUAAAUGAAUUGGCGG